CCAUGCCGUAAACGAUGAGUGCUAGGUGUCGGGAGUCAAAUCUCGGUGCCGGCGUCAACGCAAUAAGCACUCCGCCUGGGGAGUACGUGCCCACGCAUGAAACUCAAAGGAAUUGACGGGGACCCGCACAAGCAGCGGAGCAUGUGGUUUAAUUCGAAGCAACGCGAAGAACCUUACCAGGGCUUGACAUAUAGGCGCCCGAUAUAGAGAUAUAUCCUUUUCUUCGGAAACGCCUAUACAGGUGGUGCAUGGUUGU
Molecule: ribosomal RNA, 256 nt
Filed under: uncultured bacterium
Lineage: Bacteria
Description: partial 16S ribosomal RNA
Rfam family: Bacterial small subunit ribosomal RNA
Source: RNAcentral